Mytilus trossulus (common blue mussel) is the source of this 412-nucleotide long non-coding RNA. RefSeq lists it as uncharacterized. Lineage: Eukaryota; Metazoa; Mollusca; Bivalvia; Mytilida; Mytilidae. The transcript has 3 exons. The record is from RefSeq and is a predicted model, not a curated record.
GGCACCAUCAUCAAAUGGCGUAUACUGUUAUGGAAAACCGUUCGAAGUACUAAACUGCAGCCUUACAAAGUGUACAGUUGAUGGAAGUUGGGGAGAGUGGAGUAAGUGGUCAGAUUGUAAUGCAACUUGUGACGGUGGUGUACAGAAGCGUACGCGUUAUUGCAACAAUCCAUAUCCUUUUGUUGGAGGAUCUGCAUGCUCAGGGAUGGCCGACCAAAUACUAAUAUGCGCAGAGAUUAUUUGUCCAGUUUUUGGAGCCUGGUCAGAAUGGGGAGUUUGGAGCUUAUGUUCAACCUCAUGUGGUACAGGAAAUAGGACAAGGGGAAGACUGUGUGACAAUCCUCCUCCCUCUCAUGGUGGAGAGUAUUGUAAUGGCGAUACUUUGGAUUCGGAUACUUGUAAUACUCAUGAA